CAGUAGAAGCUGGUCGAUGCUGGCAACAUAUGAAGCAAAGAAAAAUCACGUUGAGCUGCUUCUGUACACUAUUAGAUCAUGGAAACCCCAAGACUCUGUUUGCUCCAUCCCUUCUUAAUCAAGUCAAAGCUUCCAGGAAACAAGAGAAGUUCUUUGUCACCUGUUAUGACUCAUUAGUAAACACAGAAAUCGGCUUUCUUUUCCGAUGGCUCCUUUCUGCAAUUCUUGGAUUGGUGUGUUAUGCUUGAUUUACUAUUGUCUGUGCCCAAUUACCAAAACUGGAUCUUUUGCUAGAGUUCAAAGACCACUCUUUUCGAAGAUCUACAUCGGUUGGGUUUCUUCUUCUUUUAUACCUUUGUUCAUAUAUACAAAUCACAACUUUAGAGGGUUAUGUUUUGUGAUCACUCGGACGGACAGUCCACCACUGGUAGUACCUGAAUGGCAAUUCAAACGAGAGCUCGAAAUUUAAAUGAGAACAUCUGUACGGUAUAUGAUUUAGGUUUUGUAGGGGUUUCUGACUACUGGUUGCCAUAAUCAGCAUGAUAUCCAGAUGAAAAAUCUUAAAAGUAACCCGAUUCUUAAAUGAGUGCAACAUAGUAAAUGAUAGAAUCAAGAGGUCUGACCGGUAGCGAUUGGUUUCGACAUUUUAAACGAUAACUAGCCUCCAUCUCAUUAUCAGAAACAUCCUUUUUUAUUUCAAGUUUUUUGUUACCAUCUAAGUUCUCUCUUGAAGUUACUAUUCAUUAUCUUUUAUCGGUCGUUCUGAUACUAGAACUUCUUUAAAGGCAACUAAUUCAAAUUUUCUUCGAUUUCAGUGGGUGGCAAGUUUCCUGCAAGCUCGCUCAAGCAACAGCAAGUUAAUGCUUAUAGGAUGUUGGAGAAAGAAAAGAUGAAUAAGAGUUUAAAUGACUACAUCACUAUAAGUUCACAAUUGAAGGUGAUUCAUUCUAUGGCUUCUUUCAUGUUCAUUGCCCUUUUAGCACUGUUGAGCUUUUAUAGAUCUCAAGGGGAGGAAUCCCCCUUCCUUCUGGAUCUGUUGAUUUAUAUAAUGAUUUGUAACUCAUCUUUUGAUCCUCUCAGCGAAAAGUGGAGAAGGUGGUGAUUGAGACGGAUGAUAUUGCAAAAGGGCUUGUUGAGCUCAUCGAACGACAUCGGAUCACCAAACUCGUCAUGGGAGCAGCAGCAGAUAAGCAUUACUCUAAGUACGAACUACAUCCCUAGUUGUGUUGCAUAUUUUAACAAAAAAAGAAAAAGGCUGCAACAGCUUUCGCCGACAAGGUUGCUUAUCUCCAAGAAAUUAACAUGUCCUAUUUGCAGAAUAAAAUUAUGUUCAUGCAGUAUCUAUAUGUGCUCAUCAUUGGUUUCCCUUAUUGACAUCUUUGAGAAAAGCAUGGACUAAACUAUUGGUCUACUCCCCAGAGUAAGACUAGUUGUUUCAAGCCGCUUUUGACCUCAUGAAGUAGGACCUUCUGUUCCGCUCAUCCAUAAUUCUCGUAGAAUUUUUAUGACCUCAAAUAGUUAUUUCUUUAGAGUCAACCUCAUACUGAUAGAAAAGGGCUGGGUGAUGUACCCAUCUAAAAUACUCUGAUGAUUGCUUAGAAAUUUCCUGCUUUAAAGUUUUGACCCAGGUAGGAGGACGGCUUGCUGUUAUUUAUUUGCCACUUCUCGACUAGGAAAUCUUGACAGUCUAUACACUACUCUACAUUAGAGGCAAUAGGUUAAUGACUUUUGUUAUUCAAUAAGACUACAAUAUCAAUCGAAUACAUAGAAAAUAGAUGUUUUUUCCUAACUAGAAAUUUGACCCAAAAGAUUAAUUGAACUCAAGAUACCACUUAUUUACUCCAUUUUAUAGCCAUGAAAGUAAAGGACAAAACUAAAUGAAAUAUGCAAAAACAGAAAAUAAAUCAAGUGCAACUUGAAUCAUAAAGAAAAUGAAAAAAAGUUUAUGGCACAUUAAUUGAUGGCAUUGGACUUCAAAAGAACAGAUAUGUUAUGCUUAUUAUUUAUACAUGAAUAAUACCACAUUAUAAUGAAAAAUAGAAAGAACAGAAGAUAAUUGGGUAUUCUAUUUGAUGCUAACUCCUAACCAAUUCAAGAUGUUUAUUUUACAGGAAAAUGAAAGAGAUCAAAUCCAAGACAGCAAUCAGUGUGAAGCAACGAGCUAAUCCAUCAUGCAGGAUAUGGUUCGCUUGCAAAGAGAAAUUGAUUUGCACCAGGUGCGAAUGUUCUUAAGCAUGACUCACUCACUCUCUCUCUCUCUCUCUCUCUCUCUCUCUCUCUCUUUUGUGUUGAUGAUUUUGAUCACGAAUUUGCUAUUUUUUUACCACUAAUUUGUUAAUUUUUAAAGAGACUUUCUUGUGUUUUAGAUUAAAAUCCAUGUGUUUGAUCUUUCUUUUGGUUUUCAGCUCUAGAUUUAAACAAUGAUAAUUUUGAUUGUUUUCUUACAUUAUACUGUUUCUUUCCAUUUCUGCAGGUUGUCCUUCUAGUGUCGAGAAUUAUUAGUAUAACAUUAGUUAGAAUUUUAGUCCAAAAAGUCCUACUAGUAUUUGCAUUCCGUAUGCUUUUGUCCUUUGCAAUUUCAUUGAGAUGUUGAUAUUGUCUAAAAAUAACAUCUAUAAUUAAUGGCAUUGUCCAAUCUUAAACCACAUUAACAUGUAUUCUUCUGUAAACUAAGAUGUAGUCUAUAUAGAUGGCACACCUGUGUCUCUGUGUGAGAACCACUUAGCCUUUGUACAGAUUUCCAGAAUAUAAACGAUUAUAAAUAGCAUUUAUCUCUAAACAAUCAUGCAUUGUCACCUAAGGCAUGGGUGUGUCUGGUUAAUUACUUUCCUUAUAUCUGAGAGAGAAUUCAAGGGGAAGAUCUCCACUUUGCAUGAAUUUAGCUUGUGCCAAAUACUUACAUCUCCUGGGUGCAAGUGCACAGGCUUUUCUAGAGAAAAGGGAACAACCGGGGUAAAACUGGUCAGUCUCUUUGAUCUGGUUAGUACUAAUGUGCAAAGAACUAUAUCUGUUAGAUUUUCCUGUAUUAAUUAGAGAACCAAAUAUUGAAUGCUUCCUAUAACUCCCCCAGUCAUUGAAGCAAACUGGAUGGUCCAAAUUGAUCAUUGUUUAGUGAUUGUUUGCAAAACCUUUUUAUUCUUUAGUAACAUAUCUUUCAUUAUAUGAAAAUUAUAAAUGUAUGGAUUUAUACUUCUUUUGACAGUGAACCUAGUUCAGAUGCAUCUCGGAUAUUACAAUCACCUAUGACUAGCCGAAGCUCCACAUACAGCCAAUGUGAACAGUUGAGAUCACCAGAUUCAUUCUUAAGACAAAAUGAAUCAUUUAAUUGGCAUGGAAGCCAUAUCCAAGAUCUGCCCGUGCAUGCAUCUACUAAUUCUAAUGGAGGUAGAAAUGUGGCAGCAUUGUCAUCUCCCUUGCCUGUUGAGCUUCCAAUUCCUCAAAGUAGAGUAAGUAUGGGGGGGAGUCCAUCUGAUCCAUGGGCAGGAAUUUCAAGGAGUUCUCAGAGUUCAUGUCGUUCAUCAUCAACAAACUAUGAGGAAAUUAGCAACUUCAGUAUGUUAUCAUUGGCCAAUUAUGAAGAGGCUGAAGCUGGGUCAGUGAUAUUAACUUCAGUGCAUGAUUCCGAGAAGGAUCUCCCUUCUGCACCUUCCCAUCAUUAUCUUGUGAGUACUAUAUCACAAUCUAUUUGUUCAUGGUCUCGUAGGAAAAAAAGCAACUAACGGAAACAAAGUUCAGUUUGUAAUCUUGCAUGAGCUUAAGUUAUUUUCAUUUAAGGUUUUCUUGUUCCCUUUAACUAGACAUCAAAGUAUCAUUGCAAGCUCAUCUCUUCAAUAAGGCAGCCUUGGCAACAUGUUUUGGUAGUUUUAGCGAGUUGAUGGUAUUAUUAUAACACUCUAAUUUAUUCCUAUAUUGGAAGUGGGUAGUGAAUUGACUUAUAAGAUUUAGUCAUUCAUUGGAAGGGGGUAAUGAAUUGACUUAUAAGGGUAUGAUGAGUAUACUAUUAUUACUUUAGCCUUAAAACAUUUUAGAUAAGUCAGUUCUGUAUUAAAGGUCUGCUCUAACUGAUAUCAUUUUGUCAAAUAAGAAAUAUUGGGCAAUCUCUUCUAUUCUUGUAAACACUCCCAAUGUAUUGUGAUUAGAUUCCAAAUGUAACAGCAAAUGAUUAUUUUCUAGAAGUGAUAUGCACAAUAUGUUCUCGCAUAUUUUGAUUUUAAAAAGGGCCUCAUUUGACAUGAAAAAAUAAUCCAUUCCAUUUUACAGGAAGAUCUGGGGUCAGAUGGUGAUGUGUAUAAUAAACUUCAAGAAGCCAUGAAAGAGGCUGAGAACUUGAAGAAUGAGGCUUAUGAAGAAUCCUGCAAGCGCCGAAAAGCUGAACUGAAUGCAGUUUUAGCUUACCAAAAGGUAUAUCUUUUCCAUCAUAAAUCUUCUUGAUAUAACAUUAGUUUAGAAUGCAUGAUAUAUAGUUCAUAGUUGUUGUAAAGAUCGUUUAAAAUUUUAGUCAUCUCAAAAAGAGAUUAGAAAUUUCUCUAUGGAAAACCAAUCAUUUACCUCCAGUAUGUUGACAAUUUUCCCUUUCAGGCCAAAGCAUCAGAGAAUUUAUACAUGAAGGAGGUGAGACUCAGGAAAGAAAUCGAGGAAGCAUUUGCAAGGGAAAAGUUGGAAGUAGAAAAGCUAAAGAGUCAACACUAUGAAAUUUCUAAACGUCUCCAAAAUGCAAUCGAACAAAAGUUGGAAUUGGAACUUAAGAUUUCUGAAUCUGAACAUGUUGCCAAAGAGUAUGACAGAAAACUCACAGAGGCGCAUCAUCUUCU
This 4811-nucleotide long non-coding RNA is filed under the name Musa acuminata (dwarf banana). RNAcentral's name for it is "long non-coding RNA (MACU_LNC002530)". Lineage: Eukaryota; Viridiplantae; Streptophyta; Magnoliopsida; Zingiberales; Musaceae. The record is from RNAcentral.